CAGAGAUGCCUAAGAAAUUUGUUAACCAAUUUAUAUGUGUCCUCCAAGAGUGUGGGUUGAUGAUCGUUGCAAGUUUCUGGUCUUUCUCAAGAAGUAUGUCUUCGGGGCGGUGGAGAGUCAAUACAUGAUUAAGUUCACUAGGUAUACAUCUGUUGCAUGGUGGGAGGGUCUAGAAGCAGAAUGUCCUUUCUGCACCUAUGCAUUGACUCCAAUUAAUCAGCUCCCAAGGUCUACAAACAUGCCUGAGCGUUUCACAGUUUUCUUCCUUUUUUCAUGUUGGAAUCAGUGACAAUACCUUGCCGGGGUGGGUACCAGGAGAUGAGUCUCGUGGCGGUGAGCGGAAUGGAGACAAGGAUGGCGACUUGAUGCUUCUCAGAGACCUCCUCUGGAGGUGAAUUUUCUGGGCCUUUUGUUUGCUAUUUCACAGAGUUGUAUCUGCAUGCUCAUGUUGUUCUUCAGCUUAUGUCAUGUAGUUUAGGUUCAUAUAUACACUACUUAAUUAGGUUCAGGAGAUGGUUCGCUGUUGGACGUGUGCUAUGGGAUGUUUUGGUGGUCUGAUGCUUUUAGCCACCGCUCUCGUUCAGGAGGUGCUCCUUUAUCUUGACCAUGACUCUGAUUUUUAGUUAGACACCAUGUUUGCAGAUUCAGUUCCAAAGUCAGGGUACUGUUUUUUAUUUUUUGUAAGCAUUAGUGAGCUGAAAUAUGUAGAGUUUGGAUUGGGGAUAUAAGCAUUGUUAAACUAAAGAAGCCUUUCCAUGCUCAGCAUUAUUGGCGACCUCUCUAAUUUGGAGUUGUGAACCAAUGGGAGAUUCAUCGUUUAAUAUUAUUCUUUAAUCACUAAAUCAUAUAGGAGAUUCCUUUGCUGCCCCAUUAACCAAAUAUUAGUGUUACUAAAAAACUGACAAAAUGUUAUUCUGGUUGCGACUGAGCCCUACUGAGGCAAGGUCGCCCCUUUUAACCGCUUACAUCCUCAAUAGGUGAGUCCCUGGCACCCCUCUCUCUAUUGAUUGAUCCAUAUAUCGCCAGGAAAGAAUGGCUAUCAGUUCAACUACUAUUGGACUAUGAAUUAUUGUUUUUUUAGGGAAAUUAAUUACUCCUUGGAGAAUCAUAGAUCCAUGUUCUAUUUUUGUCAUGUAAGUUAGGUUAUAACUAUGUAGUUACAACCACAUAUUCAGAGUUGCAAUAAAAAACAAUUAAUAAUAGAAACAAGUCAAUUAUGCGACUCGGUUGCGUCUUUCCGCAUAUCAAUCUUGGUUUAGGUCAUUUAUUAUUUGAUCCAGUGAUUGUGUUGAUGGCUUAGUUUCUAUUUCUUCAGAAAGGCACAAAUAGGAUCAACCCUAUCCAAUUAAAGUUUAAUCACCUCACAUAUACAUGCUUUUUUUGAAUAUAUAUAGUUGUAUUCAAUUUGGCUAGGAUGUAAUCCCAGUGCUGCUAAAGUUAUUCCCCAAGAAAUCACAUAUUUGCAGUGUUCUUUUUGAAGAAAUGUCUUCCUGCACAAUACUAUGUAUGGCUAGCUGCUAGCUGUUGAUAUAUAUUGAUUUCUGUCAAAGAGAUUGCAGUUAUAUAAACCUUAAUUAGACAUCUUUGAAGGGAGUUUAGCCAUUCCAUAUUUCUCUUUUGGGCAUGUGUUGGCAUGAGAUUAGUACCAGCGACUGUGGUGGCUUACAUGAGAAGUGUUACAUGUCUUGGCAUGGUUUUAUAUAAGCCAGUAACACCGUUUUAUUUUCUGUCUGUCAUGAUUUAUCAGUUUGGUUGUUAUAAAUCUGUUUUUCAUCAAGCUCAUAUCACUGUUUAUUUGAAUUCCUUGCAUUUGUGAUUAGUUGACGGUAUAAGCCUUAUUUAUCAAGUGAAUUUGUAGACUGAUGUACUUGCAGACUAAUAAUAGUAUUGACAUUUGCUUACUAACUAAUGUCUCUGUAGCAGGCUAAUUUGUGUGUUUUUGGUUGUGGCAGACCAUUUUUAGUCAAAUUGAGAAACAACCGCCUUUUUGUCUUGGCCCAUAACCAGCCGUGAAAGACGAGAUGUUUAUGCUGCCCUUCUACCUUCCUCCUUGUCCCUAUUUUUCCCCAUCGCGUGUUGCGCUCUCUGAAGUAAAAUAAACAGGAAACUGUAUGCUGAAAAGUGGGGUGAUAAAUAUCUAGUUACUAGAUUAACUAAAUUUGUGAUCCCAAUAUUGUGAGCAAAAUAGUGAAAUGUCAGGGUUUGCUCUACUGCAAAUUUGCAGUUUACUUGAACUUUGUUGUGAUGAGCAAUUCUGGUCUGACCAAACUAAUAAAUGCAUGUGCUUUCCAUGUUUUGUUCCCAGUAAGAAGUUGAUUCUGUAUUUUAUGUAUUUGUUGUGAGCUACUUUUAACUCUGAUAAAGAAUGUACAUUGUAUUGUUACUUGCUGGUGUUCUUACAUCUUUCAUCUGAUGCUUUAUUACCUGGUUGGGAGUGAUCGCACCCGCGGGUGUGCGAGA
This 2460-nucleotide ribosomal RNA is filed under the name Triticum aestivum (bread wheat). Its description in RNAcentral is "partial small subunit ribosomal RNA". The record is from RNAcentral. Lineage: Eukaryota; Viridiplantae; Streptophyta; Magnoliopsida; Poales; Poaceae.